Molecule: RNase P RNA, 421 nt
Filed under: Elusimicrobiota bacterium
Lineage: Bacteria; Pseudomonadati; Elusimicrobiota
Description: Elusimicrobia bacterium (activated sludge metagenome) RNase P RNA component class A
Rfam family: Bacterial RNase P class A
About the family: Ribonuclease P (RNase P) is a ubiquitous endoribonuclease, found in archaea, bacteria and eukarya as well as chloroplasts and mitochondria. Its best characterised activity is the generation of mature 5'-ends of tRNAs by cleaving the 5'-leader elements of precursor-tRNAs. Cellular RNase Ps are ribonucleoproteins.
Source: RNAcentral
UUCGAUGGUCGGCGGAUCGCCGCGGCGAAGAGGGCCGCGGAGGAAAGUCCGAGCUCCAGUGGGCAGGGCGCUUCCUAACGGGAAGGCGGGGGUCGGCGUUUCCCUCGACGGAAAGUGCCACAGAGAACAGACCGCCGAACGGCGCCGCGAGGCGCGCGUGGCAAGGGUGAAAACGAGAGGUAAGAGCUCCCGUUCCUCCGUCGAGAGACGGGGGAAGGCAAACCCCGCCUGGAGAAAGGCAAGAGUGAGAGGCCCUGGACGUAGGGGGACUGGCCCGGUCCCGUCGCCUUCGGGCGCGUCUCUCAGGUCGCCGCUUGAGCCCGUUCGCGAGAACGGGCCCAGAGGAAUGAUCCGUCAGCCGGACCGGGGUUUUCCCCCGGCUCCCGGUGGACAAAACUCGGUGUACAGGCCAUCGCAAACG